RNAcentral lists this ribosomal RNA (424 nucleotides) under uncultured bacterium. Its description in RNAcentral is "partial 16S ribosomal RNA". It matches the Rfam family "Bacterial small subunit ribosomal RNA", at positions 355 to 774 of the family's 1533-position model. The record is from RNAcentral.
UGGGGAAUAUUGCACAUGGGCGCAAGCCUGAUGCAGCCAUGCCGCGUGUGUGAAGAAGGCCUUCGGGUUGUAAAGCACUUUCAGCGAGGAGGAAGGUGUGAACUUAAUACGUUCAUCAAUUGACGUUACUCGCAGAAGAAGCACCGGCUAACUCCGUGCCAGCAGCCGCGGUAAUACGGAGGGUGCAAGCGUUAAUCGGAAUUACUGGGCGUAAAGCGCACGCAGGCGGUUUGUUAAGUCAGAUGUGAAAUCCCCGGGCUCAACCUGGGAACUGCAUUUGAAACUGGCAAGCUAGAGUCUCGUAGAGGGGGGUAGAAUUCCAGGUGUAGCGGUGAAAUGCGUAGAGAUCUGGAGGAAUACCGGUGGCGAAGGCGCCCCCUGGANGAAGACUGACGCUCAGGUGCGAAAGCGUGGGGAGCAAACA